RNAcentral lists this ribosomal RNA (279 nucleotides) under uncultured prokaryote. RNAcentral's name for it is "partial 16S ribosomal RNA". It matches the Rfam family "Bacterial small subunit ribosomal RNA", at positions 524 to 801 of the family's 1533-position model. The record is from RNAcentral.
UACGGAGGGGGCUAGCGUUGUUCGGAAUUACUGGGCGUAAAGCGCACGUAGGCGGAUCAGCCAGUCAGGGGUGAAAUCCCGGGGCUCAACCCCGGAACUGCCCUUGAUACUGCUGGUCUGGAGUUCGAGAGAGGCGAGUGGAAUUCCGAGUGUAGAGGUGAAAUUCGUAGAUAUCGGGAGGAACACCGGUGGCGAAGGCGGCUUUCUGGCCAGUUACUGACGCUCAUGCGCGAAAGCUGGGGUAGCGAACCCGGAUUAGAUACCCGCGUAGUCCCUGAG